This 211-nucleotide ribosomal RNA is filed under the name Solenopsis sp. 15 GR-2021. RNAcentral describes it as "partial large subunit ribosomal RNA". Lineage: Eukaryota; Metazoa; Arthropoda; Insecta; Hymenoptera; Formicidae. The record is from RNAcentral.
GAAUUUUAUAUAUUUUUAUUUAGUAAAAUUUAUAUUGAAAUAAAUAAGAAGAUAUUUUAUUGGGAGGAUAGUUAAAUAUAAAAAACUUUAAUUAAAAUUGAAAUAUAAAUUAAUAAAUUUAAGAAUGAUUAAAUAAAUUAAUUAAAAAUUAAUUACCUUAGGGAUAACAGCGUAAUAUUUUUGGAGAGUUCAUAUUAAUAAAAAUGUUUGC